CAAACACCUCUCGUAUCGAUCCCCUCGAGGAGAAGCCGUCGCCCCCAUCUCCCGUUCCGCCGCCGCCGCCCCCCACCUUGCCCUAUCUCCCUCUCAGCCACCUCCGCCGCCCCCACGCUUCUCCUCACCACAACAGAUCCCUUCGCCGUCGCCCUCGCACUCGCACCAAGCCGCCGCCGAUCCCUGCGUCGAUCCUUCGCUGCCGCCGAUCUCGUCGCUACAUCGACGGCAACCAGGGGUCGUCCUCCGCCCAGCCGCAGUGGAGAUCAAGCAGGAGUCCUCCAAGGACGACUCCCGCGGGAUCAUCCUGAUCCUGUUCGAGAAGUUCGGCUUCUCCCACCGCGGGUCCGUCUCCAUCGCGCUCACCGGCGCCAGGGCUGCCUCCAAGCUCGCCAAGCCGGACUCUUCGCAGCUCGGCUUCUUCCUUUGGUGAUAUAGAAGAUGAAAUUAUUAUUUACAAAAGAAAUUGUUUGAGGUCAAGAGUUGAUGCCAAAUGUCCUGGAUCAGGACAACUCCUGGGAAACAAGGCGAACGGGUCCCUGAUUUUAUCACUUCCGUUGACGAGUCUUGUGUCAGCAUCUUGAUGCGAGGUACAACUUCUAGGUGAUCUUCUUCAUGUUUUACGUUGUUGUACUUUUUGCUGCAAUGUGGACGUACAUAUUCUAGCAGAUAUAUCUUCAUGCUUUACCUUGUUUACCACUGCCCUGAUGUGGAGGUACAGAUUCUAGCUGAUAUAUAUCGUCAUGUUUUACCUUUUACCAACAUCCAAGAUUUUUGUUUCCUCAUUUCUUUCAAUUAGAUAGAAGAUGGGACGUGCUUUGUUGUAGUUUCCUCUUACUUUGACUAAGUAGGACAUUUUUUUGAAAUACCAAAUUGUGGUGUCGCUACCCCUACGCACCACGGUUUUGCAGCACCCUCAGCUAAAGUAAACCAUUCCAAGCCUACCAUACUCGAAACAUGGAAGCAUGCAAACUUCAGAGCAUCUUGGUGUCGCUGGCCACCCGAUCUCUACAACCACCACAAAAUGCUACAGGACCAACCAGGCCGGUGUCCUGACCACUGAAUCAUGUCACUGUGUGGGCGCCUAGAUCUCCCAUGUGUCUGUCUAAAGCCUGAGGGGCCAACCUCGCUCGAGCGUCGCCAGCCAGCACUCAUCUGCACAUGAACAAAUGGUUGGAUAUAUGUGCCUCCUCCGUCUCUUAUUCCCCGAAACAUAAUUUGAUGAGUAGAGUUUCUAAUCAUUUAUGGCACACUGGCAUAUGAUUAAACUGCACAAGUUAGAUUGACAUUUUGUGGAGAACGGUCGUCGGUUGGGAGCCUCGCCGUCUACCUCCACCAGCCGGCCCACACACCAUUGCUCCCCGCGUGUCGCGCCCCUCCCCGAACCAUCAUGCCUUCUAAUUAGUGUACGUGGUAGUCUGGUAAAAGUGGAGAAUAAUUCGGGUAAUGUCUAUGGAUGUACUACCAGUAUUGCGGCUAACCUGCCUGGCAGUGAGAUGCAUCUAGAUUAGAUCUGAUUACUGAUAUAGAAGAUGCAAUUAAUUAUCUAAAAUUUUCCUUGUACCAUUUUCCAUGAGAUUAAUGUAAUUGGGAAUACCAGUGCUUGUUUGAAUCAUUUAGUUAAAUAAUUUUAUAGAUAAAACUUGUAUUUGUAUGUUUUGGAAUUACUAUUAUCCUGGUAAAAUGACCACAAGUGAAAGGGUUGUAAAGAUUAAUUAUUCUUUGUGGAAGCAUUACUGGUCUAAUUAAUAGAUGUACAUGCAUCAAUAAUGUUGUUGAGCUUUAGUUGAUUCUAUAGUGUUGUACUAUUCGCAAAGUUCUAUUUUGAGAAAAAAAUGGCAAAUUCAAUAUUGUGCCAGCUAAAUGGCGCACCCGCUGUAGCAAGUGAGUUCCCAUCAAAAUCACCCUGAGCAUAUUUUUGCUGAUUUUCAUGAUUGCUCUUCUGCCAGGAACAAUGUUCCUGGCACUUCGACCACACAACUGUAUGUUCAUGUUCCAGUGUCCUUAUUCAUAGUUAAUUUCAAUCACAAAGUGACAAAUGUCAGUCUAUUAGUUAACAUGUGUAUCUCCGUUUCUUCUAAGUUUCAAUCGACCUACUCUGAAGUUGUUCCUAAGAUAGUGCCUCAAGCAAAGGGAAUGAGCCUCAGUUAGUGCAUCUAGCAAGUUCGUGAUCCUUUGUUGGGAUAAACAUUUGUGCAAGAGCAAUAGUCUCGUCACUAUUGGUUGUUAGUACUGUUGCUUGUUAAUUCUACUUUUUACUUCAGUUCGUAAUGCAAUAUAGUUAUGCUUGACGCACUAUAAGAAGACUGCCAUUUUGCCUUUUGACCUUGGUUUCUUCCUCCAGUAAGUAAAUGCACAUAGUUCUUUUGUAAAUUAGAGCAUACGACUUGUUGAUCGAUCUCUGAGCUCAGUAAUAAUAUUAAGCCUCAAUCUGUUUAUUGUGCACACAAGAUGAGAAAGAAUUGCUACCCAAGAAUAUGUACUUUAUAAACAUUUCAACUGUAAUCUGGAAUAAAAUUAAAUAAAUAAGGAAACAGUAUAUUCAUAUAUCUUUUUUGUACUUUGAUGGUGUCACACCACAAGUUCCGAGAUGGUAAUUGUGCUGCAUAUGUCUGCUCUCUUACUUUGUUUUUCUGAACAGGUAGGUUCUGGAAGAUGUCAUGAAGAAUUUCUUUCAGAGAAUUUGCGUGAGCAGCGUGACUAGCUGAUCUGUAGCGGCGCGGAAGGUGAGCUUGGCUGCAGGUAGCAGCUCCUUUGGCUGAUCUGCGGCGAUGCAGAAGUUGGGUUGGAAAGAAGCACGACCGGCUGCUCUGAAGUGGGACGUAGGGAGAGCUUCGUAAGAGAUAGGGAGGGAGCUCUAUUGGCCCGUGCAUGACAUCCAACCCAAUGGCAUCAUGCCCUGGUAGGCAUGGUUGUGUGGCCACGGGGAAAAUGGAGCAAGUAGCAUGUGAGGAGUUUAACAAAUGGGGACAAGGGACAGUUUAGUUAAUUAAGGCUCUAUGUUAGUUUCAAGUUUUAUCCUUGUUGCGGUAAAAAAUUAUGGUUGGAUUAACCACCAUGUACAUCUUUAAUUACUUUUAAAUAAGAAAUAUAAUCAAAAUAUUCUUUUGAAUUGAUAAAA
Long non-coding RNA from Triticum aestivum (bread wheat), 3121 nucleotides. RefSeq lists it as uncharacterized. The record is from RefSeq and is a predicted model, not a curated record. The transcript is spliced from 5 exons. NCBI's taxonomy places the organism in Eukaryota, Viridiplantae, Streptophyta, Magnoliopsida, Poales, Poaceae.